This 1371-nucleotide long non-coding RNA is filed under the name Homo sapiens (human). RNAcentral describes it as "HSALNT0247859". The record is from RNAcentral. Lineage: Eukaryota; Metazoa; Chordata; Mammalia; Primates; Hominidae.
UGAAAUUCCACCAUGGAUGGUGGAGGUGAAGGUCAAGCACAGAGCCCUCCUGGCAUAUCCAGUGCUCUCUCCGUUAUGAGGAGGGGUAAGGAGUGAGGAUGGUGUUUCCGGGAAAGCAGAGGUGAGGCCCGCUGGACUCCAGGCAGCUCUCUGCUCUCCUUGCCUUUUGCCUCAGAUUUUUGCAUGUCAGUCGGUCUGGAGAGGAGAUGAUGCUCUGAAGGUGCUGCCUGGCUCUGAACUGUGGAAGCCAAGAGCUCUGGUGGGGUUGGAACUGAAGGUCCACCACAUUUGCCCCAAGAAGAACAUCCUUGCUGGCCUUGCUGAGGGAGCCUGGCAUGCAUCAUGCUUGGCAAUUGUCUUCCUGAGACUCCCCUGCUGGGACAGCGACAGGGCAUGGGGCCCUGAAUGCAUGACAACAACAACUGCAGGUCUCCUGACCCUUGUUUGUAGAGGUGGGUCAUCUCUAGUACCGACCUCCAUCCACCUGCGAAGCAGGGCUGGUCACUUUGUUACCAGCCACAGCCCUCCCCUGGAGGGAUCUGCAGUGUAAACGGAUCAUGUGAGUGCUGACCUUUGCAAAGGUCCAAAUGUGGUCAAUUCAGUUAUUCAUACCAGGCAAGGAAGCUGCCUUAUGAAUAAUUCAAAGUUGUUGCAAAUCCACAAACCUUUUUCACAUUGCCUGCUUGCAGUAGGCUCUCCAUAAAUGUUUACUGAAUCACUGAAUAAAUUAACAUAUGAAUGAAUAUUUUGCAAUAAGCUUUUGGUAUUUACAUUUGCACAUCCAUCUGUUGAUGCUCUGAGGAUCAGCAGCAGUCCUCACAAAAGGGCUCAGGCAUGCUCCCAAAACAGGCCAGAAAAGCCAAGUGGGCCAUGGUUCUCUCUUGCUCUGCAAGGGUGGCGGGGAAUAGAAAAAAAUGUUCCCAUGGCUGAUACAGCCUCUAGCUAGAAGCUGUGAGAUUCCUGACACACGCCAUGCCAGAUUUGUGUGGCUUAACACUUUUAUUCUGCUUUUAUAACCCUCUCCUCUAGCUUUGGUUAAAACUACUAUGUGGUCAGCAGAAUGGCCCCCCAAAGAUGUUUGGGCCCUCACCCCUGGAAACUGUGACUAUGUUACAUCAUGUGGGAAGAGGACUUUGCAGAUAUGAUUAAAGUUAUGGACCUUACAAUAGAGAAUUAUCUUGAAUUAUCUGGGCAGGCCCAACCAAAUCACAUGUGUCCUCAAAAGCGAAGAACUCUCUUCACGGGAGUCCGAGAGAUGGGGCUGAAGGAGAAGUGGGAGGGAUGGAAAGGUGAGAAUGCUCCAUGGGCUGUUAGGGGCUUGCAGAGGGUGGGGCAGUGAGUCCAGGAAUGCAGGUGGCCCCAAGGAGCUGA